This is a non-coding RNA of Brassica napus (rape), 101 nucleotides long. Lineage: Eukaryota; Viridiplantae; Streptophyta; Magnoliopsida; Brassicales; Brassicaceae. The record is from Rfam.
AGAAUGAAACAGAGCCAAAGUCAACUUGCCGGCAACCAAUAUCAGUUUUUUAGACUCAUCAGUAUAAUCGGCAAGUCAUCUUUGGCUCAAUAUCAUUCUCU